CCAAACCGGAGUUACAGACCAGACUCGUCCAGCCUGCAGUGACGUGAGAAGCAGCUUGAGGAGCGAGGAAACCCUGGAGUCAUGUUUCUCAAACUUGCUGGCCAAAAUCCCUCUCUAUAUUGAACAUCAGCAACAAUAAUAUUGAUGACAUAAGAGAUUUAGAAAUACUAGAGAACCUUAAU
Molecule: long non-coding RNA, 182 nt
Filed under: Cavia porcellus (domestic guinea pig)
Lineage: Eukaryota; Metazoa; Chordata; Mammalia; Rodentia; Caviidae
Description: lncRNA (ENSCPOG00000035068.1)
Source: RNAcentral